RNAcentral lists this ribosomal RNA (485 nucleotides) under uncultured Lachnospiraceae bacterium. RNAcentral describes it as "partial 16S ribosomal RNA". The record is from RNAcentral. Lineage: Bacteria; Bacillati; Bacillota; Clostridia; Lachnospirales; Lachnospiraceae.
CACGUAGUUAGCCGGGGCUUCUUAGUCAGGUACCGUCAUUUUCUUCCCUGCUGGUAGAGCUUUACAUACCGAGAUACUUCUUCACUCACGCGGCGUCGCUGCAUCAGGGUUUCCCCCAUUGUGCAAUAUUCCCCACUGCUGCCUCCCGUAGGAGUUUGGGCCGUGUCUCAGUCCCAAUGUGGCCGUCCGCCCUCUCAGGCCGGCUACCGAUCGUCGCUUUGGUGGGCCGUUACCCCGCCAACUGGCUAAUCGGACGCGGAUCCAUCGUAUGCCGAUAAAUCUUUUCACACAGUACCAUGCGGUAUUGUGCGCUUAUGCGGUAUUAGCAGCUGUUUCCAACUGUUAUCCCCCUGCAUACGGCAGGUUAUCCACGCGUUACUCACCCGUCGCCACUAACUCGGAAAUCACUAGGUUCAAUCCGAGUCCGUUCGACUUGCAUGUGUUAGGCACGCCGCCAGCGUUCAUCCUGAGCAGGAUCAAACUCU